This is a non-coding RNA of Taeniopygia guttata (zebra finch), 766 nucleotides long. Lineage: Eukaryota; Metazoa; Chordata; Aves; Passeriformes; Estrildidae. The record is from RefSeq and is a predicted model, not a curated record.
CCGAGCUCGGGAGCAGCUCGGGCCCUGCCGGUGCCAGCUCUGCUCAGAGACUGCGGGGAGAGCCUCGGGCAGGAUCCUGCCCCGCUCCCUCCUGCCGGAAUUCAUCCCCGGGGCGAUGGGCUGGAGCAGGGAACGUGGGGCUGGAGCAGGGAACGUGGGGUGGCACCCCCGGAGGAGGAGGAGGCAGCGGCGGGCAUCACCCCUCUGCCCCUCAGUUUGGUGCUGGCAGCACUCGGUGCCCGGGUUAAUGUCCCCACAGGGCUGCCGAGCAGGUGACACCCAUCACAGCACCCACGGACAUCGCCCAUGGCCCCGGGUCAGGCUCAGCCCUGCCUCGCCCAGGGGGUGCAGACCCCGCUCGCCCCCCACAUCCCUCUGGAUGUGCCAGGGAGAAAGGGACACGCAGCUUUCAGCGCUGCAAUCCAAGGAAGUUUUACCCUGAGGACUGGGUGCGGGAGCAGCGCCGGAGAUAAAUUCCUGCCACAAAGUUUCUUUAGCUGCUAAUUUUCUGAUUAGCCGCUGUCUGAUGCGAUGGCAGCAGCGCUCCGCGGAGCUUAUUCCGAGUGGAAUAAUCUGUGUAAGCAGCCAAGAGGGGCAGGGCGGGCGCUGAGCCCCCCAGGCACAGCCCUGCUCGGAGGUAAGAACCGCUCAGGGGCUGCCAAGCCGCCGCCAGGGCUGUGGAAAUCCUUUCUGCGGAUCAGCCGAGAGGAUUCUCCCGCUAUCCCCCUAAAGCUGCGUGUCACCUAGUCCAAUAAAAGGCAUUAUC